This 253-nucleotide ribosomal RNA is filed under the name uncultured bacterium. RNAcentral's name for it is "partial 16S ribosomal RNA". It matches the Rfam family "Bacterial small subunit ribosomal RNA", at positions 524 to 776 of the family's 1533-position model. The record is from RNAcentral.
UACGUAGGCAGCAAGCGUUGUUCGGAGUUACUGGGCGUAAAGGGUGUGUAGGCGGUUAUUUAAGUUUGGUGUGAAAUCUCCCGGCUCAACUGGGAGGGUGCGCCGAAGACUGGAAGACUAGAGUGUGGGAGAGGUAAGCGGAAUUCCUGGUGUAGCGGUGAAAUGCGUAGAUAUCAGGAGGAACACCUGCGGUGUAGACGGCUUACUGGACCACCACUGACGCUGAGGCACGAAAGCGUGGGUAGCAAACAGG